GAAGAAAAGAGAGAGAGGGACGAAUAAAUUGUAAAGUUUAUCCAGUUUUCACCGACAAAGAACUAAACAAGUUGUUGACUUUAGAUACAUUUUUUUUACUUCCCGGAAUAAAAUCAGUUAUAUUAUUGGGCUUAAAUGUAUUUUUUGGACAAAUCAAGUUGUGAAUAUAUUUGGACCUGAUCCAUAAACAAUUUUUUUUUUCUGUAAACAAAUUUUUUUUAUUUAGUUUGUAGAUUAACGGAUUUUACCAGAUUUUCAUAUACUUUAUUUCUGGGCCUAUUGUGUUUUUAAAUAUAUUUUUUUUAAAACGUACAUAAGUAAACCCCAUUAAUAUUUGGUAUAUACUCAAUAAAUGUUCUGAAAAAUGUUAUUCUUAAUUUUGAAUAUG
This 388-nucleotide long non-coding RNA is filed under the name Brassica rapa (field mustard). RNAcentral describes it as "long non-coding RNA (BRAP_LNC006184)". The record is from RNAcentral. Lineage: Eukaryota; Viridiplantae; Streptophyta; Magnoliopsida; Brassicales; Brassicaceae.